Molecule: long non-coding RNA, 3786 nt
Filed under: Mus musculus (house mouse)
Lineage: Eukaryota; Metazoa; Chordata; Mammalia; Rodentia; Muridae
Description: long non-coding RNA chr16:87454997-87458783
Source: RNAcentral
GGCUGGUUCCACCGCGUCGCUCUCUCUGCGUCACCUGGAGGAAGCGGAGCUGGCGGCCGGCUCCGGGCCCGUCGCGGGAGGCAGUUAUGGGCGCCGUCGCCCCGGGUGAGUACCGGCCACCCCCGCCGCCGCCACACUCCCGCCCUGCCUCGGCCUCAUCCUCAUCUACUGCGGGUGCUGUCGGCUCCAGGGCCGGCCCGGUGGGCGCCGAGCAGUCGGUAGGGCCGGCGGGCGACGGGAAGGGUGGCUGGGCGGGCGGCUGGCGUGCGAGCUCCGGGGAGCGCCCGGUGACACCGUGUGCGUUGUAAGCGCGGCUGGCGCUGCCACCUCCGGGUGACAGCCUACGUCGAAACUGGAGAGCCACGUUGUAGAGAGACCUGCUGACAGGGGCUUUCCGACAUUGCCUUGGUGGUGAUGAUGGCUUAGCGAAGGCAGAGGAGGACCGGGAGGGCAGAAAAGGAAAGCAGCCGGCUGGAUAGGAGGCUGACAGCAGGAGUUGUGAUUUCAGCCAAGGGAGGGAGCCGCGAGCGAGUAGUUGGACCAAGGUGGCAAUUCUCGUCUGAAAACUCCCCUGGACGCUGCGGGACCGAGCAUUACUGUUUUAUAGACGCCGUUCCCACGGCGCAGCAGUGACCUUCACAGCUGUCAGAAGUUUACUGUAGCUCCUUCAGUAGCAUCGACUGACACUUCAGUCAUGGGUUUGGUUGCCCUAAUUAAAAGUUUGUCUUUCAAGUUUCCCUCUGCUGUCUCAAGGGAAGCUGCAGUCCUUAAACCAGAUCUUCUAGCUCUGUCUCCACAACUGAAGGCUUAUGAUUUAAUUAAUGUCCGCAUGUCCGCCUUUUUCUUUUACACCUGAAGUUGUGCCUUCUCAGGUAAUAUUCUCUCUCAUCUCAUCUCAUCUCAUCUCUCUGUCCCUCUGUCCGUCCGUCCGUCCGUCCGUCCAUCUGACCACCUCGCUGUAGCUGGCCUGGAGCUUUGUAACUGCCUACUUUUGCGGUGCUGGGAUUAAAGGUGUGCGCCAUUAGCGGAGGAAGUUUUUCUUGAGGACCUACUAUGUACUCACAGUAUGCUAUAGGCAAGAUAGAAAUUCUGCCCAGAACCAGUUCUUUCUCCUAAGGCUUCGGAUUUCAGAGGAGGGUGGGGGUAGGGUGGGAGGGGGAGGGGGAGAGGGAGGAAAGGAGAGAGAAAUUGUUCAGAUUAUAGAUUUGAAAAGCAGUUUACUGUGGUAGAGAAACAGAUACAGGAUAGUACAUAUCUUUUUCCUCUCUGUCCCUCUCUGUGUGUUUGCUUUGUUCUUCGAGACAAGGUCUUCUUGUACAGCUUUGGCUGUCUUGGAACUCGCUCCAUAGACCAGGCUGGCCUUCAACGCGGCUAAUGCAGGUUUUCUUAAAUCUUCAUUAAAACCUGGUGGUGAUGUUGGCACACGCCUUUAAUCCCAGCAUUGUGGGAGGCAGAGGUAGUUGGAUCUCUGGAGGGUUAGGUCAGCCGGGACUAGAGUGGUUUUGUUUUUAAAUUUCUUUCUUUAGUGAGUAUCUUCAUUUAAAAGAUGAUCGUGAAAAUCAAACAUGAUGGUUUUGGAACUGUCUCGUUAAUUGUUUUUGUUGAUGAGUUAUGAGUCAGGAUUGCUAGUACGUUGGGGCCAGGUUGAAGGGGACAAGUUCUAGAGUAUAAACUUGGAUGUUUUGGCUGUUUAAUAGGUUCAUUAGAGUGAUAUACAAAUGACGCUAUCUGAAGAUGAAUCUUGCACUAAUGUGGCACAGUUUAGAGGAGGUUAGCUUGGAGAGAAGAAGUUGGAUACUCUUUUUUUUUUUUCCCCCUAAAAGAGGACCAUUUUAUCCAGCCCUCUGUACUCUGUGCUCCUCUUUGUUCAUUGCAAGGUCUUGGCUACCCCAGGCUGGCCGCAAGCUCAGUGUAUAGUAGUUGAGGAUGGCCUUGAGUUCUGGAUUCCCUCCGCUGAAGCUUCUGAGCGUAGGGCUGUGGGGUCCGCUCUACCUGGCUCUGUGUGUGCUGAGGAGUGAGCCAGGGCUUUGUGCACAGCAGGCAAGCACUCUACAUACUGAGCUAUCUGAAGAUGAAUCUUGCACUAAUGUGGCACAGUUUAGAGGAGGUUAGCUUGGAGAGAAGAAGAUGGAUACUCUUCCCCCCCCCCCAAAAGAGGACCAUUUUAUACAGCCCUCACCAUUUUUUUUUUGUUUUUGUUUUUGUUUUGUUUUGUUUUGUUUUUUUUCUAUAUCCCUGGCUGUCCUGGAACUCACUCUGUAGACCAGGCUGGCUUCGAACUCAGAAAUCCACCUGCUUCUGCCUCCCCAGUGCUGGGAUUAAAGGAGUGCGCCACCACGCCCGGCUACCAUUUUUUCUUUUUUAAACAAUGUUUUAAAUGAUCCUUGGUAAAGGAAGGGUUCCACACUGGCUUAGUACAGUGUUUCCCUAGCAUUUCAUCCAGUAUAUACAAGGUCUUGAUUUAGUAUCCAGCAUUGAGGAGGACAAAAGGAUGAAUGAAAAUGUAAAAAGAUAAUUGCUGCCCUUGGCUCGUGGUUUUAUAGAGACGUCCUGCCUAUCCUCAGCACCACCCCACCAAGAGCUGAAGGGUUACUUGCAAGACUUUAUGCCAGAAAGAUGACAACAAUUAAGAUUAGAAUUAAUCUUAAUUUUUAAGAUUAAUUAGAUUGACUACACUGGAGUGUAGUUUAAUGGUAGAGCACCUGUAAAAACAAGAAUUAAGUGAAGUAUUUCCUCCAGAUACUAUUUUCCAUUUGCACAAACAUUUUUUUUGGGGGGGGGGGGGACAGGGUUUCUCUGUCAAGUUACUCUGAAGCAUGUAAAAUAGAGAUUCUCAAAAUAAAUGUUUAAAGAUUAGACUUGUAAGUACUUGUAAUUCUCUUGAUACUUUUAAAUUUUCAAAAUUCAACCAAACAGGCAAAGAUUUAAUGUGUAGUUAGAUUAGCCAUAGACUACCAAAUGGGGGUUUGUGGGUGACAUAGGCAAGUCGAUUCUUUGUUCAUAUCUAGAAGGCAGACUAGUAAAGAGAAUUGUGUACUUUUGUCUGUCUAUUUUUAAAAUUUCUUGCAAACCUUUAAACUUUGCUAGCUGAUGGAUUGUAGAAUGAUAUCUAAUUUUGUGGUGAAGAGUGGAAUGCCUGUUAGUGUUGGGCACAGAAGCAUCAGCAGGAAUGGAAGAAGGUGGGGGACCUUGACUUUUACACUUGUAGCCAACAUCCUAACUUUGUCACUUCCUGACUGUUUGAAAACAGGAUGAAACUGUCUAUUCUGCGUACUUAAGAGUUCGUAUUAGAAGAGUGAUGGUGUAUCCCAGGGGUACUUUUGAGUUAUAAAGUAUUUUUUUUUGUUUUGUUUUUUAUUUUUUGUUUUCUGUUUUCUGUUUUUUGAGACAGGGUUUCUCCGUGUAGCCCUGGCUGUCCUGGAACUCACUUUGUAGACCAGGCUGGCCUUGAACUCAGAAAUCUGCCUGCCUCUGCCUCCCAAGUGCUGGGAUUAAAGGUGUGCGCCACCACCGCCAGGCUACCGAGUUAUAAAGUAUUGACUGUAGCUUACUUGAACUUUUAUCUUCUAAACUGUAGAAGUCAUUUUUUCUUUCAUCCUUUGUCUUUCUGGUUUUGUCAAGCUGGGUUUGUCUUGUUUUCUAGAUUGUAACUUUGUGUCAGCGUGCAGUCCAUAAAGUGCCAGCAUGGGGAAGAAACGGACCAAGGGGAGAAGUGCUCCAGACACGGUGGCCUCAGAGUCUGCAGGUAUGGUUCCUCAGUUGUUCUUAAAGCCUGGUUCUAUGUCU